GAUCCUGGCUCAGAACGAACGCUGGCGGCGUGCUUAACACAUGCAAGUCGAACGCGAAAGGGACUUCGGUCCUGAGUAAAGUGGCGCACGGGUGAGUAACGCGUAGAUAACCUGUCUUUAUGUCUGGAAUAAUACGCCGAAAGGGGUACUAAUACCGGAUAUUUUUGCAUUGCAUAAGCAGUGUAAGCAAAGGUGGCCUCUGACAUAAGCUACUGCAUAAAGAGGGGUCUGCGUACCAUUAGCUAGUAGGUGGGGUAAAGGCCUACCUAGGCUACGAUGGUUAGCGGGUCUGAGAGGAUGAUCCGCCACACUGGCACUGGAACACGGGCCAGACUCCGUACGGGAGGCAGCAGUGAGGAAUAUUGCGCAUGGGGGCAACCCUGACGCAGCGACGCCGCGUGAAGUGAGGAAGGCCUUCGGGUCGUAAAGCUCUGUCAAAGGGAAAGAAGUGCAUGGUGGUUAAUACCUGCCAUGUUUGACGGUACCCUUAAAGGAAGCACCGGCUAACUCCGUGCCAGCCGCGGC
This 525-nucleotide ribosomal RNA is filed under the name uncultured bacterium. RNAcentral describes it as "bacterial SSU rRNA". It matches the Rfam family "Bacterial small subunit ribosomal RNA", at positions 15 to 518 of the family's 1533-position model. The record is from RNAcentral.